UUUGAUGUUUUUGUUUAUGUAUGUUGAUGUUUUAUUAAGGUAAGUUGUUGCUUUUGUUAUUGUAGAUGUUUUUGUUGAGGUAUGUGGAUGUUUUUGUUGAGAUAUGUUGUUAUUUUAUUAAGGUAAGUUGGUGUAUUUGUUGAUAAAUGUUGUUGUUUAUGUUAUUAUAGAUGUUUUUGUUAAGGUAUGUUGAUGUUUUUG
This 201-nucleotide long non-coding RNA is filed under the name Lathyrus oleraceus (garden pea). Its description in RNAcentral is "Pisum sativum (pea) long non-coding RNA (PSAT_LNC031839)". Lineage: Eukaryota; Viridiplantae; Streptophyta; Magnoliopsida; Fabales; Fabaceae. The record is from RNAcentral.